AAAGAAUUAGUUUAACAUAAAACCUUAGUCUUCAAAACUAAAGAUAUUAAUUAAUAGUAUUCUUUG
RNAcentral lists this transfer RNA (66 nucleotides) under Brachionus koreanus. Its description in RNAcentral is "tRNA-Trp". It matches the Rfam family "tRNA". From Rfam's summary of the family: Transfer RNA (tRNA) molecules are approximately 80 nucleotides in length. Their secondary structure includes four short double-helical elements and three loops (D, anti-codon, and T loops). Further hydrogen bonds mediate the characteristic L-shaped molecular structure. tRNAs have two regions of fundamental functional importance: the anti-codon, which is responsible for specific mRNA codon recognition, and the 3' end, to which the tRNAs corresponding amino acid is attached (by aminoacyl-tRNA synthetases). tRNAs cope with the degeneracy of the genetic code in two manners: having more than one tRNA (with a specific anti-codon) for a particular amino acid; and 'wobble' base-pairing, i.e. permitting non-standard base-pairing at the 3rd anti-codon position. Lineage: Eukaryota; Metazoa; Rotifera; Eurotatoria; Ploima; Brachionidae. The record is from RNAcentral.